AGAGUGAACGCUGGCGGUAGGCCUAACACAUGCAAGUCGAACGGCAGCACAGGAGAGCUUGCUCUCUGGGUGGCGAGUGGCGGACGGGUGAGGAAUACAUCGGAAUCUACCUUUUCGUGGGGGAUAACGUAGGGAAGCUUACGCUAAUACCGCAUAAGACCUUCGGGUGAAAGCCGGGGACCUUCGGGCCUGGCGCGGAUAGAUGAGCCGAUGUCGGAUUAGCUUGUUGGCGGGGUAAAAGCCCACCAAGGCGACGAUCCGUAGCUGGUCUGAGAGGAUGAUCAGCCACACUGGAACUGAGACACGGUCCAGACUCCGUACGGGAGCAGCAGGUGGGGAAUAGUUGGAACAAGUCGGGGCGA
This 362-nucleotide ribosomal RNA is filed under the name uncultured soil bacterium. RNAcentral describes it as "bacterial SSU rRNA". It matches the Rfam family "Bacterial small subunit ribosomal RNA", at positions 26 to 380 of the family's 1533-position model. The record is from RNAcentral.